Non-coding RNA from Rattus norvegicus (Norway rat), 757 nucleotides. The record is from RefSeq and is a predicted model, not a curated record. NCBI's taxonomy places the organism in Eukaryota, Metazoa, Chordata, Mammalia, Rodentia, Muridae.
GGGAGCACCCCAGUUAGCAGCCACAGCCCAUGCAGUAACAGCUGCAAACUCCUAGAGGGUCACAGCCACCUUGCCUGACUCCAGCUCUGGAUGGGAGACUCUCUUUAAACAGGACGCACUUUCUCAGAGACUUGAAGGCUAUCUUAGGCUCCCAGCAAGCCCUGGGAGGAAGUUGAGCUUUUAAGGACAAAUGGAUCCGGCAAGGAUUUAAAGCUCCAUCAAAGAGGUGCAUUAUAAAAUAUAUUCUAGCAGGAAGAACACUACCUACCCAUGACACGAAGUUGGACCAAGGCUGCUCUUGGAUUGCAUGACUUUGAAUACCUUCAUUGUUCCUUCUGGGUCAUAGCACGCUUAGCUUAAAGCACACUCACAGUCAUGGGUUCGAGGCCCAUACAGUGAGUUUUCAUCACCAAGCCUAUCACUCCCCAAACUUUCUGUAGCUGCUGAGAUAGAUUCACCUUCUUUCUAGUUUCUUCGUAGUCACUGUUUGCGAGGAGAAGCCGAAGUGAUGGCCAGUGUUAGAAAGAGGAAGGCCUGCAAAACAUUGAUGACUAUCAUAGGACUUUAAGGGCUGGCUUACAGCUCUUGAGCAGAAUCUCAAAGCACAAGCAGCCCUGUGCAGGAGCUCGACUGGGCACUUUGUAUGUUAUUUUGUUGAGUUAACAAGGAAUAGAAGAGUUUAAUAAAGUCCUUGUUGAUGCGUUUGUCUAAAGGAACAUUCUGCCUUUUAAUUUCGGAUUAAAAUUCUGGAUUUUAA